This 253-nucleotide ribosomal RNA is filed under the name uncultured bacterium. RNAcentral describes it as "partial 16S ribosomal RNA". It matches the Rfam family "Bacterial small subunit ribosomal RNA", at positions 524 to 776 of the family's 1533-position model. The record is from RNAcentral.
UACGUAGGGUGCGAGCGUUAAUCGGAAUUACUGGGCGUAAAGUGUGCGCAGGUGGCCGCGCAAGUCGAGUGUGAAAUCCCCGGGCUUAACCUGGGAACUGCACUUGUGACUGCACAGCUGGAGUACGGCAGAGGGGGAUGGAAUUCCGCGUGUAGCAGUGAAAUGCGUAGAUAUGCGGAGGAACACCGAUGGCGAAGGCAGUCCCCUGGGCCUGUACUGACGCUCAUGCACGAAAGCGUGGGGAGCAAACAGG